RNAcentral lists this ribosomal RNA (468 nucleotides) under uncultured bacterium. RNAcentral describes it as "partial 16S ribosomal RNA". It matches the Rfam family "Bacterial small subunit ribosomal RNA", at positions 28 to 507 of the family's 1533-position model. The record is from RNAcentral.
GACGAACGCUGGCGGCGUGCUUAACACAUGCAAGUCGUACGGAAAGGCCCUGCUUUUGUGGGGUGCUCGAGUGGCGAACGGGUGAGUAACACGUGAGUAACCUGCCCUUGACUUUGGGAUAACUUCGGGAAACUGGGGCUAAUACCGGAUAGGAGCUCCUGCUGCAUGGUGGGGGUUGGAAAGUUUCGGCGGUUGGGGAUGGACUCGCGGCUUAUCAGCUUGUUGGUGGGGUAGUGGCUUACCAAGGCUUUGACGGGUAGCCGGCCUGAGAGGGUGACCGGCCACAUUGGGACUGAGAUACGGCCCAGACUCCUACGGGAGGCAGCAGUGGGGAAUAUUGCACAAUGGGCGGAAGCCUGAUGCAGCAACGCCGCGUGCGGGAUGACGGCCUUCGGGUUGUAAACCGCUUUCGCCUGUGACGAAGCGUGAGUGACGGUAAUGGGUAAAGAAGCACCGGCUAACUACGUG